This 218-nucleotide ribosomal RNA is filed under the name uncultured Vibrionaceae bacterium. Its description in RNAcentral is "partial 16S ribosomal RNA". It matches the Rfam family "Bacterial small subunit ribosomal RNA", at positions 856 to 1073 of the family's 1533-position model. Lineage: Bacteria; Pseudomonadati; Pseudomonadota; Gammaproteobacteria; Vibrionales; Vibrionaceae. The record is from RNAcentral.
CGCGUUAAGUAGACCGCCUGGGGAGUACGGUCGCAAGAUUAAAACUCAAAUGAAUUGACGGGGGCCCGCACAAGCGGUGGAGCAUGUGGUUUAAUUCGAUGCAACGCGAAGAACCUUACCUACUCUUGACAUCCAGAGAAGCCAGUAGAGAUACAGGUGUGCCUUCGGGAACUCUGAGACAGGUGCUGCAUGGCUGUCGUCAGCUCGUGUUGUGAAAU